AUGUUCUCGUCGCAGUCCCUCAGCCGCGUCAACAACAUUCGCACGACGCUGAUCAACGCGCAGAAGGGCAACCAAUCGGUGUCCUCCUUCUUCGCCGCCGUGAGGGGGCUUGCUGAUGAGCUCGCCGCGGCGGGAAAACCAAUCCAAGAUGACGAGCUCAUAUCCUACAUCAUCCACGGGCUGGACCAAGACUAUCAGCCCCUCGUCUCCGCCUUGGACGCCCGCGUCACUCCGGUAAACCUUGAUGAGCUUUUCGCUAUGCUUAGCAACUUUGAUCAGCGCAUGGCGUGGCCGCAGGGCACAGGCAGCCGGGCGGCGUGGCAAGGCGGGGCCAGCAAGCACGGUGCGUGGUGGGCUGCUGGUGCUGCAGGACACGGCGGCGCGCGGGCACAACAACAGAAGGAGCUGCGUCGAGCGCGGCGACCGGCCGCAACUGCUGAUAGCGCCGGCUUGCUUCCUAGCUAG
This 465-nucleotide ribosomal RNA is filed under the name Triticum aestivum (bread wheat). RNAcentral describes it as "partial small subunit ribosomal RNA". The record is from RNAcentral. Lineage: Eukaryota; Viridiplantae; Streptophyta; Magnoliopsida; Poales; Poaceae.